GUUUCCGUAGUGUAGCGGUUAUCACGUCUGCUUCGCACGCAGAAGGUCCCAAGUUCGAUCCCGGGCGGGAACA
Molecule: transfer RNA, 73 nt
Filed under: Schistocerca americana (American grasshopper)
Lineage: Eukaryota; Metazoa; Arthropoda; Insecta; Orthoptera; Acrididae
Description: tRNA-Ala
Rfam family: tRNA
About the family: Transfer RNA (tRNA) molecules are approximately 80 nucleotides in length. Their secondary structure includes four short double-helical elements and three loops (D, anti-codon, and T loops). Further hydrogen bonds mediate the characteristic L-shaped molecular structure. tRNAs have two regions of fundamental functional importance: the anti-codon, which is responsible for specific mRNA codon recognition, and the 3' end, to which the tRNAs corresponding amino acid is attached (by aminoacyl-tRNA synthetases). tRNAs cope with the degeneracy of the genetic code in two manners: having more than one tRNA (with a specific anti-codon) for a particular amino acid; and 'wobble' base-pairing, i.e. permitting non-standard base-pairing at the 3rd anti-codon position.
Source: RNAcentral